GGAAGGUUGGCAUGGACGACCUGCGCUUGCCAAUCCGGCCAGAUCCGAAAGGAAGCACCCGUAACGAGAUGCAUCGGGUCAUGUUUCAACCUUCCACU
RNAcentral lists this signal recognition particle RNA (98 nucleotides) under Alphaproteobacteria bacterium. RNAcentral's name for it is "signal recognition particle sRNA small type". It matches the Rfam family "Bacterial small signal recognition particle RNA". Rfam says of the family: The signal recognition particle (SRP) is a universally conserved ribonucleoprotein involved in the co-translational targeting of proteins to membranes. Lineage: Bacteria; Pseudomonadati; Pseudomonadota; Alphaproteobacteria. The record is from RNAcentral.